GACGAACGCUGGCGGCGUGCUUAACACAUGCAAGUCGAACGGUAAGGCCCUUCGGGGUACACGAGUGGCGAACGGGUGAGUAACACGUGGGUGAUCUGCCCUGCACUUCGGGAUAAGCCUGGGAAACUGGGUCUAAUACCGGAUAGGACCACUGCCUGCAUGGGUGGUGGUGGAAAGCUUUUGCGGUGUGGGAUGGGCCCGCGGCCUAUCAGCUUGUUGGUGGGGUGAUGGCCUACCAAGGCGACGACGGGUAGCCGGCCUGAGAGGGUGACCGGCCAAACUGGGACUGGGAUACGGCCCAGACUCCGACGGGAGGCAGCAGGGGGGAAUAUUGCACAAUGGGCGCAAGCCUGAUGCAGCGACGCCGCGUGAGGGAUGACGGCCUUCGGGUUGUAAACCUCUUUCAGCACCGACGAAGCGCAAGUGACGGUAGGUGCAGAAGAAGGACCGGCCAACUACGUGCCAGCCGCCGCCGUAA
This 478-nucleotide ribosomal RNA is filed under the name uncultured bacterium. Its description in RNAcentral is "partial 16S ribosomal RNA". It matches the Rfam family "Bacterial small subunit ribosomal RNA", at positions 28 to 523 of the family's 1533-position model. The record is from RNAcentral.